GUGUGUGCAUGUGAAUGCGUGCGUGUGUGGGUGUUUGGAAAGAAGGGUGCCGCUGGUGGUGGUCGUUGUUGAUGCAUGGUCGAGCUUUAAUCCCACCCAAGGGCCUUGCGUGAGGGGAACCAUAACCGCACCGCCUGACCAAGUGCCUCCACCCGUGACAUUGUGAUGGAUAGGCUAGCCUGGCUGCCUUCACCAUUGAGCUUAGCGUCCUCCAGGCAACUCUUUCCAUUAAUUGUGAUUAGUAGAAACACAUUACUGUCACUUUAACUAGACUGCAUAACAGCCCUGUUUGAGUUAGCCCGGUAUCACUUGGUCUCAUUUUGUCAUUCUUAUGCCCACAGUCUUUAAGUAGGAUAAUACUCGGCUUUUAAAUGUAAAUACAUUGUUUUUGUUCGCUGAAGCUCUUGUUAUUCUAGAUAAAUCCAUCCAUUUAAACUGGGUCGUUUCUUUGAAAAAGAAAUACAGGCAGUUAACAAAACGUUGCAGUAAUGGUUUCUUAAAACCAUACAAAGAAUGUUAUUACAUAUAAAAUAAUAGCCUCCCAUUAACACACUUCACACAUUCCCUGCAGGGGUACAGUAUAUUGUUGGAGGCAGUGGGACAUUUUGGCCGACCAAAAUAAACGUAACACUGGUGUAGGAUUAGCAACACAAACAUCUAUGUUAAGCCACGUAGGCCGCACGUACGUGCAAAUAAAUCCAAACAGGCAGACAUACAGACUCAUAUUCCACCAGCGGUGUCACAGCGUUGACAGACCCAUGAUAAGGGGUCCUCAGAGCUGCGAGGCACAUGACUCAGCCCCUAUCACGUCACUCUGUCUCUGGCUGGAUAGCUGCCUGCGCUCUGGGCUGGGACACGGCAGUUGGCACGCUCAAAGCUCAGGGACAAACAGGCAUGCUGUAACCUGAAGCAGCCCCUGUGGGAACAGGUGCCCUGCAUCGGGUGCCAUGGAGCAACGGGCCGGGGGGGCUGACGGUUCUGCCCCGGUCAGGGUGAAGACAGUGCGCUGUCUUUUCCAGGUCUACAGGUCUGCGGUGCUGCACACUAGGCAAGGAGAUGCUGCAGACAGGAAGGCAAGGCUGUGAUCUGUAUGUCUGUUUGUUGCUGACUGCUGCAGAAAACCAAUAAACCUUGUCUCCUAUA
This is a long non-coding RNA of Esox lucius (northern pike), 1143 nucleotides long. The record is from Ensembl. Lineage: Eukaryota; Metazoa; Chordata; Actinopteri; Esociformes; Esocidae.